RNAcentral lists this ribosomal RNA (1542 nucleotides) under Salmonella enterica subsp. enterica serovar Thompson. RNAcentral describes it as "bacterial SSU rRNA". It matches the Rfam family "Bacterial small subunit ribosomal RNA". The record is from RNAcentral. Lineage: Bacteria; Pseudomonadati; Pseudomonadota; Gammaproteobacteria; Enterobacterales; Enterobacteriaceae. RNAcentral also lists the same sequence under 25 other names.
AAAUUGAAGAGUUUGAUCAUGGCUCAGAUUGAACGCUGGCGGCAGGCCUAACACAUGCAAGUCGAACGGUAACAGGAAGCAGCUUGCUGCUUCGCUGACGAGUGGCGGACGGGUGAGUAAUGUCUGGGAAACUGCCUGAUGGAGGGGGAUAACUACUGGAAACGGUGGCUAAUACCGCAUAACGUCGCAAGACCAAAGAGGGGGACCUUCGGGCCUCUUGCCAUCAGAUGUGCCCAGAUGGGAUUAGCUUGUUGGUGAGGUAACGGCUCACCAAGGCGACGAUCCCUAGCUGGUCUGAGAGGAUGACCAGCCACACUGGAACUGAGACACGGUCCAGACUCCUACGGGAGGCAGCAGUGGGGAAUAUUGCACAAUGGGCGCAAGCCUGAUGCAGCCAUGCCGCGUGUAUGAAGAAGGCCUUCGGGUUGUAAAGUACUUUCAGCGGGGAGGAAGGUGUUGUGGUUAAUAACCGCAGCAAUUGACGUUACCCGCAGAAGAAGCACCGGCUAACUCCGUGCCAGCAGCCGCGGUAAUACGGAGGGUGCAAGCGUUAAUCGGAAUUACUGGGCGUAAAGCGCACGCAGGCGGUCUGUCAAGUCGGAUGUGAAAUCCCCGGGCUCAACCUGGGAACUGCAUUCGAAACUGGCAGGCUUGAGUCUUGUAGAGGGGGGUAGAAUUCCAGGUGUAGCGGUGAAAUGCGUAGAGAUCUGGAGGAAUACCGGUGGCGAAGGCGGCCCCCUGGACAAAGACUGACGCUCAGGUGCGAAAGCGUGGGGAGCAAACAGGAUUAGAUACCCUGGUAGUCCACGCCGUAAACGAUGUCUACUUGGAGGUUGUGCCCUUGAGGCGUGGCUUCCGGAGCUAACGCGUUAAGUAGACCGCCUGGGGAGUACGGCCGCAAGGUUAAAACUCAAAUGAAUUGACGGGGGCCCGCACAAGCGGUGGAGCAUGUGGUUUAAUUCGAUGCAACGCGAAGAACCUUACCUGGUCUUGACAUCCACAGAACUUUCCAGAGAUGGAUUGGUGCCUUCGGGAACUGUGAGACAGGUGCUGCAUGGCUGUCGUCAGCUCGUGUUGUGAAAUGUUGGGUUAAGUCCCGCAACGAGCGCAACCCUUAUCCUUUGUUGCCAGCGGUCCGGCCGGGAACUCAAAGGAGACUGCCAGUGAUAAACUGGAGGAAGGUGGGGAUGACGUCAAGUCAUCAUGGCCCUUACGACCAGGGCUACACACGUGCUACAAUGGCGCAUACAAAGAGAAGCGACCUCGCGAGAGCAAGCGGACCUCAUAAAGUGCGUCGUAGUCCGGAUUGGAGUCUGCAACUCGACUCCAUGAAGUCGGAAUCGCUAGUAAUCGUGGAUCAGAAUGCCACGGUGAAUACGUUCCCGGGCCUUGUACACACCGCCCGUCACACCAUGGGAGUGGGUUGCAAAAGAAGUAGGUAGCUUAACCUUCGGGAGGGCGCUUACCACUUUGUGAUUCAUGACUGGGGUGAAGUCGUAACAAGGUAACCGUAGGGGAACCUGCGGUUGGAUCACCUCCUUA